This 2312-nucleotide long non-coding RNA is filed under the name Marmota monax (woodchuck). The record is from RNAcentral. Lineage: Eukaryota; Metazoa; Chordata; Mammalia; Rodentia; Sciuridae.
GCAAUAAGUAAUAUAUCAAAGUGACAAAACCUGAUAAAUUCAGUGCUAGAAUUAACACUGUUUUCCUGAAUUGUAGGUCAAUGAUGUCUCUAAUGCAGAUAGUAGGCAAAACAUUAAAAUAACUAAAUAAUUGUAAUUGAAAUGAUUCAGCAAACUAUUUGACAUGCCCAUAUAUGUCCUCAAUUUUAAUCAAAUAUAUAUUAGAUUUACUUCAUAAUAUCUAGGUUAAUUUAUUCCUUUAUGAUCAUUAUCUCUUCUUUGAGAAAUGAUCUCUAAUAAAGAUCCUCAUUUGGCCUCAGGAUAUGUGUACAGUAAGAAAAAAAAAUCUCAAGAGUUCUCCCUAUUAUAUUCAUAAUAAGUUUUUUACAUAUCCCCAAGCCUUUCACAUACUGGUCAGUCACACACAGCAAGCAAUAUGAAAGUUCAUGAAGUUUUGCAGUAUAACAUUGUUAUCCUUCCAAGCUAUUUCUAAGACUUCCUUGUGCUUUAUUGAAAACAUCAAGGAAAAUAAAUAUGUCUUUUUAGACCCAGAACUUGAAAUGACACUGGACUCAAGAGAUCAAGUUUAUGAAGACAAAAGUUAUGUGUUUGGGCUUCUAUUUAUCUGCAGAAGAGUUGUCAAGGUGAAAGGGAUUGUGUGAGAAUGGCCUUAGGCCUGAGCCUAAGCAACUCCUGUAAUGCCAGAUUCAUAGGACCCCAAUAGACCUGCAGGAGCUGAAUCUGAUGCAAUCACACAACAAUGUUUAUAGUAAGCUCAAGCCUGGACUCACAACCAUUUCAGAUGCAGUGGUCCCAAAGAGUGAGUCGUGACCCUUUGUCCAGUGAGGAUUAAUAAGAUUUUUGGGGAUACCAUAUUCAUCACAACAUCACACAGCCAAUCAUUUCACAUCACAGGAAAGUCAAACAACAACUCUUAACAUUGAUUAGCACAGUCAUUGGCAGGAACAAGUUGGGUAAGGGUGAUUGGUUAGUUCAAGUGGUGGAUGCAUUUGAACUGAUUGGUUUAGGCCAUGAGGGGUUGCAAGAGUGCAUAUGAUAAGCUUGCCUAAUCAUGUUACUAAUCACCAAAACUACUGGGGAGAUCACCUGGUAUUUCAGGUAUUUUCUCUGUCUCACACGUUUUGUGGUAGCUAGGGGGUUGCUAUGGGUCCUAACCUAGUGUAACUGAGUCAGGGUCACCUGGCAUGGAAGUUCUCUCCAGUUAUUUACAGACAAACAACUCAGCAGGGUGGGUAUGUGCCUAGGAGCACUAUGGUUUUUUCCAAGGACAAGGGAACUCCCCCAUUUGGACAGGCUUUGCUCUCAGGUAGAGGCUGAUUUCUCAAAGAUGGAGUCACAUUAGUUUCUCACUCCAUUUAAAAAACUCCAGUUUGAAACCUGAGGUCAUUAUUAGACGUCAUUUAUCACCAGGCACACCCACAGAGCCCUCUAGUAUGGCCUCAGACAAAUUACUUCCCCUCACCCUGAUAAACUGAGUAAAGCCUCUGACAGGCUUUCCUCUGCUGAUAAGAGUGAAAAGUGAGACUAUCAGGAUGGAGACCACCAGACCAGAUAUUUCUGACCUCAGGGUAAAUGAUGUCAUGGAGAAAUCUGGUGGCACCUGAUAAGAAUUACAAGGGGUGGUCAAAAAACCCCAAAAUUUAGUAUAAAAAAUAGAGUGAAUAAACAGGCAUUCAGCCAGCCUAAACAAGUAUGCACUCGAGCUGGAGAGCCUGAUGAGAACCUGCACUGACAUCCCAUCACUUGCUAUCAUUCUCCUGAUUUCUCUGUGUGAUCCUCACUGCUCUCAAACUCUACCACCUUGUCUGGAACUUUGUGAGAGAUGCAGCUUCUCCCUGUGACCCUCUCCUCAACUGGUCAUCCACUCCACACCAAAAAAGCCUGUUUUGUUUCAGGACCUGAUCACUGCUUUCUGAGUGAGUGUGCAUCUGCAGGACAUAAAGCCUAAGGCUUGAGACUUUUGAACUUAGCAUUCAGAGGAAAUGUCUGUCACUAGCCUGUCAUAAUUAAAUGUGUUUUUCAAUGCUCAGAAUUAAUCUAAAAUUAUUUUCUGUGAAUUAAUUAAUCUAGAAUUGCUUGCUGUUAAUUGAUUGUCUCUAUUGAAGUGCCUAUUAUUAAGGAUUGUCAUUUUCCUCAUUAAGAACCUAUAGAGUAAAAUGGUAUUAAGUAAUUUGAGUGAAUAAAGAAUUGAAAGCAGCAGAAGCAUGUGGACAUUCUUUAUUUGCCCCCUUCACUGCAUAUGUCACAAAUUUGCCCCCCUGGUGAUAGCUUGUUAUUAUUUUUAAAGUAUCAAAUUAAGGAAUUCUUAUCAC